Molecule: ribosomal RNA, 465 nt
Filed under: Vreelandella stevensii
Lineage: Bacteria; Pseudomonadati; Pseudomonadota; Gammaproteobacteria; Oceanospirillales; Halomonadaceae
Description: partial 16S ribosomal RNA
Rfam family: Bacterial small subunit ribosomal RNA
Source: RNAcentral
CCUACGGGUGGCAGCAGUGGGGAAUAUUGGACAAUGGGCGAAAGCCUGAUCCAGCCAUGCCGCGUGUGUGAAGAAGGCCUUCGGGUUGUAAAGCACUUUCAGUGGGGAAGAAAGCCUUGGGGCUAAUACCCUCGAGGAAGGACAUCACCCACAGAAGAAGCACCGGCUAACUCCGUGCCAGCAGCCGCGGUAAUACGGAGGGUGCGAGCGCUAAUCGGAAUUACUGGGCGUAAAGCGCGCGUAGGCGGUCUGAUAAGCCGGUUGUGAAAGCCCCGGGCUCAACCUGGGAACGGCAUCCGGAACUGUCAGGCUAGAGUGCGGGAGAGGAAGGUAGAAUUCCCGGGGUAGCGGUGAAAUGCGUGGAGAGCGGGAGGUAUACCAGUGGCGAAGGCGGCCUUCGGGACUGACACGGACGCUGAGGUGCGAAAGCGUGGGUAGCAAACAGGAUUAGAUACCCGAGUAGUC